GCGGCCUAUCAGCUUGUUGGUGAGGUAAUGGCUCACCAAGGCGACGACGGGUAGCCGGCCUGAGAGGGCGACCGGCCACACUGGGACUGAGACACGGCCCAGACUCCUACGGGAGGCAGCAGUGGGGAAUAUUGGGCAAUGGAGGGAACUCUGACCCAGCGACGCCGCGUGCGGGAUGAAGGCCUUCGGGUUGUAAACCGCUUUCAGCAGGGAAGAAGCGAAAGUGACGGUACCUGCAGAAGAAGCACCGGCUAACUAUGUGCCAGCAGCCGCGGUAAUACAUAGGGUGCAAGCGUUGUCCGGAAUUAUUGGGCGUAAAGAGUUCGUAGGUGGUUCGUUACGUCGGAUGUGAAAAUCUGGGGCUCAACCCCAGACCUGCAUUCGAUACGGGCGAGCUAGAGUUUGGUAGGGGAGACUGGAAUUCCU
Molecule: ribosomal RNA, 426 nt
Filed under: uncultured Actinomycetes bacterium
Lineage: Bacteria; Bacillati; Actinomycetota; Actinomycetes
Description: bacterial SSU rRNA
Rfam family: Bacterial small subunit ribosomal RNA
Source: RNAcentral